AGACAAACCAUUCCAGGCACCCAAUACCCAAAAGGAGGAAGACUAGGAAAUACAUAAAGAAUGCAAGUGGACAACGAAUUUCAGAUAAAGACUUAAAGCCUUAAAUGAAAGAUAGAUUAGAGACUUAAAUGAUCUACUCAGCAAAUUUACUGGGAAGCUACCAGAACUUCAUCAUUAGCCCUGGCAUGGGCUGCUUCUAAUGCCCCAGGAAUUGCCCCAGCUAUGUGUCCAUGAGGUCAUCAGUUCUCAAAAAUUGGCAAAACCAAGUUAUUUUAAGAACCAACAGCUGAGACCGCUGUCUCUUCUUGCCUAGAGCAAUCGGCCUUCCUUGUAGGCCCUGGGACUGAGAGAGCUCCUGGGCCAUGGGAUGUUCAGUACUUAAAAUCAGCAAAGUCCUUGGCAAGCUGAGUGGCUAAAAUUGUUCUUGAAGCUCCUGCCUUCUGUUAUCUGGACAGUAGCCAUGCCUGUCCCAGGAACUUUCUGAAGGAUCCUAAGCUACAGCAGAUUAUACCAGAGAAAUGGAGUUGAGAUGACCUUUCCAAGACCAUCAAGAGACCACCUAAAAAUGCAUAGGGCAGAUGCUUCCCAGAUUGAAACAUGGAAAAAGGAGGUGAGAAACAAAUUGUAUUUUACAGAGAAUGGAGAUGUCAAAGCUUAACUAUAUCUUUAGUCAAAGGGCUCGCGAUCAAAAAUUAGGUUAGAAUAAUAAAACAAGUCAAGUGUGAGGAGCAGUGAGAAAUUAGUAUGUGCCAUGGUCUUGAUUAGUUUUGCAGAUAGAGUUCCAAUUCUUAGAACUCCAAGUCAUUACAUAGUCCCAAAUUUUAGCAGCUUGGAGGAAGCCAAUCACUUAAAGAUCAGGGACUAGACACAUGGACCUAGGCUGGAGUUUAAGAUCUCACACUAAAGUCCCUUUUUAGGACAGUACCAGAUAUCUGUGCAGAUUGGAAGCUGCACAAUUCCAAUGGAUCCGUUCACACCAUGUCUAUAUGAGUGACAGCCCUGGAGUGCUGCGAUCAGUUGUACAAUAUUCCACUGUUUCUUUUUUUUUUUCUUUUUUUUAAUAUAUAUUUUAUUUUUUUUAAUUUUUUUUUAUUUAUGAUAGUCACAGAGAGAGAGAGAGAGAGAGAGAGGCAGAGACAUAGG
Molecule: long non-coding RNA, 1143 nt
Filed under: Canis lupus familiaris (dog)
Lineage: Eukaryota; Metazoa; Chordata; Mammalia; Carnivora; Canidae
Description: lncRNA (ENSCAFG00040024311.1)
Source: RNAcentral